RNAcentral lists this ribosomal RNA (443 nucleotides) under uncultured bacterium. Its description in RNAcentral is "partial 16S ribosomal RNA". It matches the Rfam family "Bacterial small subunit ribosomal RNA", at positions 338 to 795 of the family's 1533-position model. The record is from RNAcentral.
CCUACGGGUGGCUGCAGUGGGGAAUAUUGGGCAAUGGGCGCAAGCCUGACCCAGCAACGCCGCGUGAAGGAAGAAGGCUUUCGGGUUGUAAACUUCUUUUCUCAGGGACGAAGCAAGUGACGGUACCUGAGGAAUACGCCACCGCUAACUACGUGACAGCCGCCGCGGUAAUACGGAGGUGGCAAGCGUUAUCCGGAUUUACUGGGUGUAAGGGGCGUGUAGGCGGGGACGCAAGUCGGAUGUGAAAACCAUGGGCUCAACCUGUGGACUGCAUUGGAAACUGUGUUUCGUGAGUACUGGAGAGGCAGACGGAAUUCCUAGUGUAGCGGUGAAAUGCGUAGAUAUUAGGAGGAACACCAGUGGCGAAGGCGGUCUGCUGGACAGCAACUGACGCUGAGGCGCGAAAGCGUGGGGAGCAAACAGGAUUAGAUACCCUUGUAGUC